CUACGGGGGGCUCCAGUGAGGAAUUUUGCGCAAUGGGGGCAACCCUGACGCAGCAACGCCGCGUGAGUGAAGAAGGCCUUCGGGUCGUAAAGCUCUGUCAAGGGGGAAAAAGGUCUUUUAGUGAACAGCUUUAAGGUUUGAUGGUACCCCUAGAGGAAGCACCGGCUAACUCCGUGCCAGCAGCCGCGGUAGAUACGGAGGGUGCGAGCGUUGUUCGGAAUUACUGGGCGUAAAGGGCGUGCAGGCGGUUUGGCAAGUCAGAUGUGAAAGCCCUGGGCUCAACUCAGGAAGUGCAUUUGAAACUGCCAUUCUAGAGUAUGGGAGAGGAGAGUGGAAUUCCCAGUGUAGAGGUGAAAUUCGUAGAUAUUGGGAGGAACAUCCGUGGCGAAGGCGACUCUCUGGACCGAUACUGACGCUGAGACGCGAAAGCGUGGGGAGCAAACAGGAUUAGAUACCCGGGUAGUC
RNAcentral lists this ribosomal RNA (465 nucleotides) under uncultured bacterium. RNAcentral describes it as "partial 16S ribosomal RNA". It matches the Rfam family "Bacterial small subunit ribosomal RNA", at positions 339 to 795 of the family's 1533-position model. The record is from RNAcentral.